This 253-nucleotide ribosomal RNA is filed under the name uncultured bacterium. Its description in RNAcentral is "partial 16S ribosomal RNA". It matches the Rfam family "Bacterial small subunit ribosomal RNA", at positions 524 to 776 of the family's 1533-position model. The record is from RNAcentral.
UAAGGAGGGNGAGAGNGGNAAUCGGAAUUACUGGGCGNAAAGCGCACGCAGGCGGUUUGUUAAGCUAGAUGUGAAAGCCCCGGGCUCAACCUGGGAUGGUCAUUUAGAACUGGCAGACUAGAGUCUUGGAGAGGGGAGUGGAAUUCCAGGUGUAGCGGUGAAAUGCGNAGAUAUCUGGAGGAACAUCAGUGGCGAAGGCGACUCCCUGGCCAAAGACUGACGCUCAUGUGCGAAAGUGUGGGUAGCGAACAGG